Molecule: ribosomal RNA, 494 nt
Filed under: Escherichia coli
Lineage: Bacteria; Pseudomonadati; Pseudomonadota; Gammaproteobacteria; Enterobacterales; Enterobacteriaceae
Description: bacterial SSU rRNA
Rfam family: Bacterial small subunit ribosomal RNA
Source: RNAcentral
AAAUUGAAGAGUUUGAUCAUGGCUCAGAUUGAACGCUGGCGGCAGGCCUAACACAUGCAAGUCGAACGGUAACAGGAAACAGCUUGCUGUUUCGCUGACGAGUGGCGGACGGGUGAGUAAUGUCUGGGAAACUGCCUGAUGGAGGGGGAUAACUACUGGAAACGGUAGCUAAUACCGCAUAACGUCGCAAGACCAAAGAGGGGGACCUUCGGGCCUCUUGCCAUCGGAUGUGCCCAGAUGGGAUUAGCUUGUUGGUGGGGUAACGGCUCACCAAGGCGACGAUCCCUAGCUGGUCUGAGAGGAUGACCAGCCACACUGGAACUGAGACACGGUCCAGACUCCUACGGGAGGCAGCAGUGGGGAAUAUUGCACAAUGGGCGCAAGCCUGAUGCAGCCAUGCCGCGUGUAUGAAGAAGGCCUUCGGGUUGUAAAGUACUUUCAGCGGGGAGGAAGGGAGUAAAGUUAAUACCUUUGCUCAUUGACGUUACCCGCAG